CAUUUCGGAGGGGGCAUUUCAGAGUAGGCAAGAGACCCUCAAGUCCUCCAUCAGACACCCCCAGAACACAUUCCAUUUCUUAGUCUAUUCUCUGCCCACGAGCCUCCAGCUCACGUGGUCACUUGCCUCUCUCAUGGUUAGAUAAAGCGGAUGCCAAGCCUGACACUUCAGCAGCAGCUGUAAGAGGCAGGUGUGAUACGUAUGCAACCUGGGAAGGAACUUCCAGCUUUGAGCACCUCAAUUUCCUCACGUCUCCCUGGUUGUCCUGGGGGUAACGUGAAGAAGGGGCUGUGGGGCCAGGCAGACCCACCCCCCCCGGAGGCCUCGAGUUCAGAUGGCUUUGAAUCCCUGCGACUAGACCUUCCAAAGGAUCCUGAGGCUUAAAUCCAGGUGGUUUCUUCAUUUGUUUACUCAUCCACCCAUCCACCCAUCCAUCCAUUCAUUCAGCAGGCAGGCAGACUCCCUGUGGCUCAGUGGACCCUGUCUCCUAUCUACUUUCCCAGCAGAGGAGAGAGAGGGCUCACUUCAGGCUCCCGUCCCCCCAGCUCCAGGGAGAAUGUCAGGAGCCAAGAGGCGGAAGCGGCCCAGGUGCCCAUCACAGAUGAAAACAGCGCAAUAUGGUCUGUUCUUCCAACGGAGUUUGACUCAGCCUUCAAGAGAAAUGAAAUACUGACACAGGCGACAAUGUGGAUGAACGUGGAAAACCCAAAGUGAAAGAAGCCAGACACGGAAGGACAAACACUGUGUGCUUCCACUUAAAUGUGCUCAUCCAUAGAGAGAGGAGUAGAAGCUAGCAGGGGCUGCGGGGAGGAGGGGCGGGGCUAAUCGCUCCAUGGGAGCAGUUUCUGUUUGGGGUGUUGAAAACAUUUUGGAGUUAGCGGUGAUGGUUGCACAAGGUUAUGACAUUGUGAAUGUACUUAAUGUUACUGAAUUGUUCACUUAAAAUGGUUUUAAAUGGUGAUCUUAACACUAUAUAUAUUUUACAGCAAUUUUAAAAUCAUAGA
Molecule: long non-coding RNA, 1004 nt
Organism: Capra hircus (goat)
Lineage: Eukaryota; Metazoa; Chordata; Mammalia; Artiodactyla; Bovidae
Exons: 4
Source: RefSeq, a predicted model, not a curated record